This is a small nucleolar RNA of Polyodon spathula (Mississippi paddlefish), 135 nucleotides long. RefSeq annotates it as small nucleolar RNA SNORA13. The record is from RefSeq and is a predicted model, not a curated record. The transcript has a single exon. NCBI's taxonomy places the organism in Eukaryota, Metazoa, Chordata, Actinopteri, Acipenseriformes, Polyodontidae.
UGCCUUUGUGUUGCCCAUUCAUUGCAUUUUCCAGAUGAGUGAGGUGUCAAACAAGGCAUACAGUGAAUCUUGCAUAGGCUUUCCUUCAGGAACUGAACUGUGUGUCUUGUUCCAAGUUACCUGGCAAGGACAGCG